This 316-nucleotide long non-coding RNA is filed under the name Mytilus galloprovincialis (Mediterranean mussel). The record is from RNAcentral. Lineage: Eukaryota; Metazoa; Mollusca; Bivalvia; Mytilida; Mytilidae.
GUCAAUAUCUAAAUGUUUUGCUAUAAUCAAGGCAUGUGACGUCUUUUAAUUUUUAAGGCAUCUAUCCUAUCGAACAUGAAAUAAAAGGUACGACCGAUACAGUCAAGUCUUUCUUUAUAUCGCGACUUGCAAUUCAAAAUGGACCAUGUAGGUAAAUUGAGAACUAAACAUUACCACAUUGUGAACUUUUCGAUUCUAUUACUUAACAAUCCAGCAGCACCUUUAUAUGGACAAUUUUCGUCCCGAUCCGAUUGAUACGAUAUUGAAGAGCUUGCAAAUUCUAUCAAGAAUUCCUUGAUUAAGGGUUUCUGCCAAC